GACGAACGCUGGCGGCGUGCUUAACACAUGCAAGUCGAACGGAAAGGCCCUGCUUUUGUGGGGUGCUCGAGUGGCGAACGGGUGAGUAACACGUGAGUAACCUGCCCUUGACUUUGGGAUAACUUCAGGAAACUGGGGCUAAUACCGGAUAGGAGCUCCUGCUGCAUGGUGGGGGUUGGAAAGUUUCGGCGGUUGGGGAUGGACUCGCGGCUUAUCAGCUUGUUGGUGGGGUAGUGGCUUACCAAGGCUUUGACGGGUAGCCGGCCUGAGAGGGUGACCGGCCACAUUGGGACUGAGAUACGGCCCAGACUCCUACGGGAGGCAGCAGUGGGGAAUAUUGCACAAUGGGCGGAAGCCUGAUGCAGCAACGCCGCGUGCGGGAUGACGGCCUUCGGGUGGUAAACCGCUUUCGCCUGUGACGAAGCGUGAGUGACGGGAAUGGGGAAAGAAGCACCGGCGAACUACGU
RNAcentral lists this ribosomal RNA (467 nucleotides) under uncultured bacterium. Its description in RNAcentral is "partial 16S ribosomal RNA". It matches the Rfam family "Bacterial small subunit ribosomal RNA", at positions 28 to 506 of the family's 1533-position model. The record is from RNAcentral.